UUUGCUACAUGCUUGUUGAUGAUGGUUGCCUAAUUAUAAAUGCAUAGAAACUAUUGUAAAGUAUUCCUUAAAUAAUAUUAUUUGCGCCAUUAAAGGAAGGAAAAUAAUUCAAUGGAGGAAGAAAAAGGAGGAGCUAAAGCACUUUGAUUGGUCCCAUAUCAUGUGUCCGUAAUUAGCAGCCCCAUUUUUUUGAUUAAUUCCAUCUUUCACUAUCCCCUUUCCUCCUCUCUUCAAUUAUUCCUUAAUUAAUCUCCUCUGUAUACACACUAGCUAGUACUAAUUUAUUAGCAAACUGAGGCCUGGUAAAAUUUGAUGGAUUAAUUAAGAUAUCGUAUUUAUUAUUGUGUUAUCUUAUCAUGUCUAGUGAUCACAAGAGAAGAGAGCCAGGAGGUGAAGCGGCUGGUUCAUCAUCCAGUACUCAGCAGCAGCAGCAGCACCCAGCACCUCAGUUGAGUCGAUACGAGUCGCAGAAGCGGCGUGAUUGGAACACGUUUGGACAGUAUCUGAAGAACCAGAGGCCUCCGGUUGCUAUGUCACAGUGCAACUAUAGUCAUGUGUUGGAAUUUCUUCGGUAUUUGGAUCAGUUCGGGAAGACUAAGGUUCAUGCCCAAGGUUGUGGUUACUUUGGACACCCUGAUCCAGCUGGCCCUUGUACUUGUCCUCUUCGGCAAGCUUGGGGGAGCCUGGAUGCGCUCAUUGGACGGCUCAGGGCCGCGUAUGAAGAGAACGGGGGAGCCCCGGAGACGAACCCUUUUGCUAGCGGCGCCAUUCGGGUCUACCUGAGGGAGGUCAGAGAUUCGCAAGCCAAAGCUCGAGGAAUUCCUUAUAAAAAGAAGAAGAAAAAGAGAAUCACUAAUCCGUUGAAGGCCAGUACUGAGGAGGCUGCUUCCACCACUUUUCACUUGCCCUCUUCUUAAUUCUGUGCUUCACCAAAAAUUCCUGCUCGAAAAUAAAGGCUUCAACUGAUCCGCCGCAAGCUCCACGGCUAGUUUCGCAUGCAUGGAGGUUGAUCACAUCCUCACUGCCAGCGUACAAACUUAAUUAUAUGCAUGCUCAUCUUAUCAUCUGUCCUCUUUAAUUUUCAGUUGCUUCAUAUAUAAUUAUAAUGAAACUACUUUACAUGAAUAAGUAUAUUUGUAUAAACGCUUUAAGUUAAUAUUGUAGUUUAAGCAGGGACUGGGCACUUGGGGUACAUCUAUACGAGUGUUGCUUUAUCUCUUAA
This is an RNA transcript of Daucus carota subsp. sativus, 1222 nucleotides long. RefSeq lists it as uncharacterized. NCBI's taxonomy places the organism in Eukaryota, Viridiplantae, Streptophyta, Magnoliopsida, Apiales, Apiaceae. The record is from RefSeq and is a predicted model, not a curated record. The transcript is spliced from 2 exons.